AAGGGUGCAGAUGGGUUCCUUGGGUCCAGCCUGCUAUGAUCGAGACCUGAACUGAAUCAUUUUGAGGUCCUGUGUCUGGACUGGAAUGAAACUGUGAAACUAUUAAAUCAAGUAACUUGAGUCAGCUGUGUCCUUGGGUUUUGGUAGGCAGUGAGUUUGCAGUGGACCUAACCUUUAAGCAAAUUCAAACACUGACUGAAACCUGGUAAAAUGGUGAGAAUUUUAGUCCAAGGCCUGUACAUGUUUGAGAUAUUUUUGAUGUGGUCACAGGUCUAUAUGAUGAUUCUGAUCCCUUCAUACUGUCAACUCUACCCGUCAAAUCGGCGCAUGCAGUUAGAUGGCAGAGGCUCCUAGCCUCCAACCAAUUGCCAACUACCUGCCAAGCUUAGCCCCCACUUUGGACUAUUGAAAGGCUCUAGUUCAGCAAAAGAACACCAAUGAAAACCAAAAAAUCUACAACCAAGAGAAGCAAACAAUAUACCCUACGUCUCUUUC
This 495-nucleotide long non-coding RNA is filed under the name Elaeis guineensis (African oil palm). RNAcentral describes it as "long non-coding RNA (EGUI_LNC036382)". Lineage: Eukaryota; Viridiplantae; Streptophyta; Magnoliopsida; Arecales; Arecaceae. The record is from RNAcentral.